AAUCAACGCUGGCGGCGUGCCUCAGACAUGCAAGUCGAACGCGAAAGUUCCCUUCGGGGGAUGAGUAGAGUGGCGCACGGGUGAGUAACACGUAGGUAAUCUACCUUUGGAUGGGGAAUAACAACCGGAAACGGUUGCUAAUACCGCAUAAUGCAGCGGCACCUAAUGGUGACAGUUGUUAAAGCGGGGGAUCGAAAGACCUCGCGUCUGAAGAGGAGCCUGCGGCGGAUUAGCUAGUUGGUAAGGUAACGGCUUACCAAGGCGACGAUCCGUAGCCGGCCUGAGAGGGCGGUCGGCCACACUGACACUGACAUACGGGUCAGACUCCUACGGGAGGCAGCAGUCGGGAAUUUUGGGCAAUGGGCGAAAGCCUGACCCAGCAACGCCGCGUGAAGGAUGAAAU
Molecule: ribosomal RNA, 403 nt
Filed under: uncultured bacterium
Lineage: Bacteria
Description: bacterial SSU rRNA
Rfam family: Bacterial small subunit ribosomal RNA
Source: RNAcentral